RNAcentral lists this RNase P RNA (233 nucleotides) under Bathyarchaeum sp. (SeqCode). RNAcentral describes it as "Candidatus Bathyarchaeum sp. RNase P RNA component". It matches the Rfam family "Archaeal RNase P", at positions 51 to 276 of the family's 288-position model. From Rfam's summary of the family: Ribonuclease P (RNase P) is a ubiquitous endoribonuclease, found in archaea, bacteria and eukarya as well as chloroplasts and mitochondria. The record is from RNAcentral. Lineage: Archaea; Thermoproteati; Candidatus Bathyarchaeota; Bathyarchaeia (SeqCode); Bathyarchaeales (SeqCode); Bathyarchaeaceae (SeqCode).
CCACGCUGAGCUGCAGCGCCUGCAAGGGCGUGGGGCGAGAGCCUUGGUUCCUGAGCAGAAACGGAACGUCCAAUCGUGGGGUGACUAUGAUGCGUACUAACUCGUUGAGGAUGCGGUUGGGUGCGGUGAAACGGCUGACCUGCAGGGUGAAAGGGCAAAUAGGCGUCUGUGAGUUCUGCGGGAGACGCGGGUAGCCCGUAUAGCUGAAUGCCGUCAAAACAAAAGGCGGGUUA